AGAAAGAGAGAGAGAGAGAGAGAGAGAUUGGGGGCAAAGUGAGCGAUCUUAGGCGUCUCUUGGCUACUAAUUAGUCAGGCCAUACCCCAAUUACGGAAACUCGAGGAGAAGGCAAAUUAGAGAUACCGGAUUGAAGCGAGACGGACCUGUUUGCCAAAUAUUUGCCGACCAAUAAUGAUUAGCUUAAUUCCGCUGCUCGGGCCUCCCGUGUAACUUCCGCGCAAAGCAAAGAUCCUCCAGCAAUUUCUAUCCUUCUAUCCCUUUAAUUUCUUAUUCCAUUAUUGGCUUUUGCCUUGUUUUAUCAA
Apis dorsata (giant honeybee) is the source of this 305-nucleotide long non-coding RNA. RefSeq lists it as uncharacterized. The transcript has 2 exons. The record is from RefSeq and is a predicted model, not a curated record. NCBI's taxonomy places the organism in Eukaryota, Metazoa, Arthropoda, Insecta, Hymenoptera, Apidae.